CGUGCCUAACACAUGCAAGUCGAGCGAUUCUCUUCUGAUAACAUGGGCGGACUGAUGAGUAACGCGUGGGUAACCUGCCCUGUACACCCGGAUAACCUACCGAAAGGGAUGCUACUACUAAAUAGUAUGCUUUUAUCGCAUGGGAUAAUUAUCAAAGUUUUUGCGGUACAGGAUGGACCCGCGUCUGAUUAGCUAGGUGGUAAGGUAACUGCUUACCAAGGCGACGAUCAGUACCCGACCUGAAAGGGUGAUCGGCCACAUUGGAACUGAGACACGGUCCAAACUCCUACGGGAGGCACCAGUGGGGAAUAUUGCACAAUGGGCAAAAGCCUGAUGCAACGACGCCGCGUGAGCGAUGAACGCCUUCGGGUCGUAAAGCUCUGUCCUCGGGGAAUAUAAUGACGGUACUUGAGGAUGAAGCCCCGGCUAACUACGUGCCAGCAGCCACGGUAAUACGAAGGGGGCUAGCGUUAUUCGGAAUUACUGGGCGUAAAGGGUGCGUACGUGGUUUCUUAAGUCAGAGGUGAAAGGCUACGGAUCGACCGUAGUAAGCCUUUGAAACUGUGAAACUUGAGUGCACGAGAGGAGAGUGGAAUUCCUAGUGUAGCGGUGAAAUGCGUAGAUAUUAGGAGGAACACCAGUUGCGAAGGCGGCUCUCUGGACUGUAACUGACACUGAGGCACGAAAGCGUGGGGAGCAAACAGGAUUAGAUACACUGGUAGUCCACGCUGUAAACGAUGAGUACUAGCUGUCGGAGGUUACCCCCUUCGGUGGCGCAGCUAACGCAUUAAGUACUCCGCCUGGGAAGUACGCUCGCAAGAGUGAAACUCAAAGGAAUUGACGGGGACCCGCACAAGUAGCGGAGCAUGUGGUUUAAUUCGAAGCAACGCGAAGAACCUUACGUAAGCUUGACAUCCUUUUGACCGAUGCCUAAUCGCAUCUUUCCCUUCGGGGACAGAAGUGACAGGUGGUGCAUGGUUGUCGUCAGCUUGUGUCGUGAGAUGUUGGGUUAAGUCCCGCAACGAGCGCAACCCUUGCCUUUAGUUGCCAGCAUUAAGUUGGGCACUCUAGAGGGACUGCCAGGGAUAACCUGGAGGAAGGUGGGGAUGACGUCAAAUCAUCAUGCCCCUUAUGCUUAGGGCUACACACGUGCUACAAUGGGUGGUACAGAGGGCAGCCAAGUCGUGAGGCGGAGCUAAUCCCUUAAAGCCAUUCUCAGUUCGGAUUGUAGGCUGAAACUCGCCUACAUGAAGCUGGAGUUACUAGUAAUCGCAGAUCAGAAUGCUGCGGUGAAUGCGUUCCCGGGUCUUGUACACACCGCCCGUCACACCACGGGAGUUGGGGGCGCCCGAAGCCGGAUUGCUAACCUUUUGGAAGCGUCCGUCGAAGGUGAAAUCAAUAACUGG
This 1406-nucleotide ribosomal RNA is filed under the name uncultured organism. RNAcentral's name for it is "SSU rRNA". It matches the Rfam family "Bacterial small subunit ribosomal RNA". The record is from RNAcentral.